This is a long non-coding RNA of Manihot esculenta (cassava), 169 nucleotides long. RefSeq lists it as uncharacterized. The record is from RefSeq and is a predicted model, not a curated record. NCBI's taxonomy places the organism in Eukaryota, Viridiplantae, Streptophyta, Magnoliopsida, Malpighiales, Euphorbiaceae. The transcript has 2 exons.
CUGAAACAAGCCUAAGGAUAUGGAUGUAAAAGAUUGGAAGUAUUUGGUUAAUCUUUGGACAGAAAAUGCAUUUCAGGAGAGAAGCAACAAAAAUAAGACAAAUAGAUGCAAGCGUUCUAUGCCGCCAUACACGGGGACAAAAAGCUUUGCUCGGCUGAGAGAUCAUAUG